RNAcentral lists this ribosomal RNA (1044 nucleotides) under Triticum aestivum (bread wheat). Its description in RNAcentral is "partial small subunit ribosomal RNA". Lineage: Eukaryota; Viridiplantae; Streptophyta; Magnoliopsida; Poales; Poaceae. The record is from RNAcentral.
AUGCUCCUCCGUUCUGGGCGGCGCCUGGCCGCCGAGGACGAACCGGGGCGGACGGCCCCGCCGAGGAGGAGAAGCAGGGCAAGGUCGGACCGCCUCGCCGUCAUCCCCGAUGAGAUCCUGCAUCAGGAGAUCCUGCCCCGCCUCCCGGCCAAGUCCGUGCUCCGCUUCCGCGCCGUCUGCCGGUCCUGGCGCAGCCUCGCGUCCGACCCCGCCUUCCUCCUCGACCACCACCGCCGCCAGCCGGCGGUUCCCCUGAUUAGGUCCUGCCGGAUCUCCGGCCGCGGCCUCGAAUCCGGCCUCAACGCCAUCCACCUCCGGUCCGCGAAGAUCGGCCCCUCUCUCCAGUUCCCAUUCCACGGCUCUUUCAGCAUCGUCGCCUCCUGCGACGGCCUUUUCGUCGUCGGCAGCUACAUCAUCUGCAAUCCGGCCACGAGCGAGUGGGCUGCCCUCCGGCAGGACAGGAAGCCCAUAGAGAAUCUCUUCGCCCUCUUCCGGCACCAGCCUUCAGGGGAGUUCCGCGUCAUGUACUGGAAAAACAACUCCACAGAGUUGAUCUGUCGGCAGGAGUAUUACAUCCUCACGGUGGGAACCAACAAUUCAUGGCUCGUCGAUUGUCCGUUAACCGAGGUUUUGGCCGAGGAACCAUCCAUCUUUGGCGCGCCGGUCCUCCUCAAUGGCAGCCUGCACAUACACUGGAGGAGACGGUCAGGUCUUCGCUACCACAGGAUACGGGUGUUCGACACAGUGGCAGAGACGUCACGGCAGAUGACUCCGCCACCUGUGAACCCCCGCCAUGUUAUGCACUUGCUUGACCUGGGUGGAAAGCUUGCUGCGUCCACCAGCAAGGAUGGCAUGACUGAGAUGUCCAUCUUUGUGCUUCAGGACCCUGAGCAUGAUGUCUGGGCAUUCCAGUACCGGAUCAAACUGCCGGCGAUGGAAAUCAGGCGCUUCCAGAAGCAAGGUUCAAAGAGAGUCUUAUCCAGCAUACAUUUUUCCAAAAGACAAAGAAGAAGAAUUGAUUCGUACCCUCUCCUGGAUAUCUGA